AGUGAACGCUGGCGGUAGGCCUAACACAUGCAAGUCGAACGGCAGCACAGUAAGAGCUUGCUCUUACGGGUGGCGAGUGGCGGACGGGUGAGGAAUACAUCGGAAUCUACUUUUUCGUGGAGGAUAACGUAGAGAAACUUACGAUAAUACCGCAUACGACGUACGGGUGAAAGCAGUGGAUCUUCGCACCUUGCGCGAUUGAAUGAGCCGAUGCCGGAUUAGCUAGUUGGCGGGGUAAGGGCCCACCAAGGCGACGAUCCGUAGCUGGCCUGAGAGGAUGAUCGGCCACACUGGAACUGAGACACGGUCCAGACUCCUACGGGAGGCAGCAGUGGGGAAUAUUGGACAAUGGGCGCAAGCCUGACCCAGCCAUACCGCGUGAGUGAAGAAGGCCUUCGGGUUGUAAAGCCCUUUUGUUGGGAAAGAACAGCUGUAGGUUUAUACCCCGCUGUUCUGACGGUACCCAAAGAAUAAGCACCGGCUAACUUCGUG
Molecule: ribosomal RNA, 492 nt
Filed under: uncultured bacterium
Lineage: Bacteria
Description: partial 16S ribosomal RNA
Rfam family: Bacterial small subunit ribosomal RNA
Source: RNAcentral